CCCCAUGGACUCAAAAAUAUCCUGCCAAAUAUUAUAAUAGUAAGCUCAUAAACUAAAAAAGAUCAGGACGAAUCAUCUUCCCCUCAUAGUAUAUAGAUUCUGAUUCAAUUACCUUUGUUACAUAAAACUCAUGUCUUCAUUAAAUUAUAGCAAACAACUCGAACAAGUUUGCCUUACCUGCCGCAAAAUCCCAAUCCAGGAUUGAAGAGUAUUACAUAGUACAUACUUCAGGUGUAAAUUCAGUUAGACCUCAUGGGCAUACAAAGAAAAAUCAUAUUCAUAUAAAUUUGUGCAUGGAAAUAUAAGAAAUUCAAAACUACUUUCCAUUCAAGUAUUGAACAAAUUUAAAGCUCCCACUUUUCAAUAUCCUAAAAACAGUUUAUUCCUCAUUUUCCUCAUCAUUGCACCCUUUUGCUAACAAUUCUACUUGGGAUUCAUUUAAAAUGCAUAAAUUUUAAUUUACCACCUCAAAUAUCACAAAAUAUUAACUUAAUUAGCACAGUUGGAGAAUUUCCCAGAAGUAUAUUCCUAUCCUAUCUUUAGGAAGCAGGACAUUACAUGAAUCAGACGGUUAUUGAAACUAGCAAAAUAAAUAAAUUAAAAAAAAAAAUAAUGCUAUUCCAGUAGAACAUUCAAAUUGCUAUAAAAUUUUAAAUGCUCGAAAAACACACAGCGUUUCAUUAACUUAAUCACUCGAUUAUAACUAAUUAGCAACAUUAUAAAUGAUAAAUAAUACACCUGAAGCAUGUUGUGACUCAAGA
This 761-nucleotide unclassified non-coding RNA is filed under the name Hevea brasiliensis (rubber tree). Lineage: Eukaryota; Viridiplantae; Streptophyta; Magnoliopsida; Malpighiales; Euphorbiaceae. The record is from RNAcentral.